AACUAGGGCUACGUUGUAGCACUAACGGGCCCGAGCACAGGCAAUUUCUAGUCUGUUGCGGUCGAUGAAGAGAGAACGUUCGAUGACCAAGCGCUAGUCUCCGCAUUGCAUGCGUUUGCGCUCUGCGGCAAGGAUGAUCGCUCCACUUCCUGUAGCCAGCCGCUGGUGCUGAACUAGAGAUGAGGAACUGCAGCACCUGAUGUUCUCAGCAGCAACAUGGUGGAGAUCUGCAGCUUCAUGCUGGUCAACAUGUGGACGAUGUCAUCAUCAUCAGAAGCUACACAACACUGUGAAAUUACUCUUAUAUAAAGAUGGCCUGCAACUGUUUAGUGGUGGCAGUCAUUUCUAAGUGUCAUGGAUAAGAAUUAAUUUCUAUCUUCAUUAUGAUGAGGAACUGCAGCACCUGACGUCGUCAGCAGCAACAUGGUGGUCAACACGUGGACGACUGCAUCAUCAUCAGAAGCUACACAACACUUCUAAAUUCCUCCCUUAAAUAAAGAUGGCCUGCAACUGUUUGGUGGUGGCAGUCAUUGCUAAGUGGCAUGGAUAAGAAUUCAUUUCUAUCUUCAUUAUGGUUGGUUAAAAUAAUAAAAACUUAUAACAACAA
This is a long non-coding RNA of Pleuronectes platessa (European plaice), 607 nucleotides long. RefSeq lists it as uncharacterized. The record is from RefSeq and is a predicted model, not a curated record. The transcript is spliced from 3 exons. NCBI's taxonomy places the organism in Eukaryota, Metazoa, Chordata, Actinopteri, Pleuronectiformes, Pleuronectidae.